GAGAGGAUAUAUGUCCCGUUGCUAUUCCUUGUAAGAAAUAUUUUCAAAAGAAAAUAUGACAGAUUUUCAAUGAUUUACGUACAAAGUAUUCAAAGAUGAGCACCCAGAGAGCAUGUUGUUUGAUCUUUUUAAAUAUUAUGCUACAAACUGUCAAGUUGUCGACUACGGCUUUCCAAAAUUGCCCCGCUUCGACAUCGACAGUGUCCUAUACCAAAUGUCCACACACACAUGAAGAGUGGAUGGCUGCAACAGACGAAAAAAUUGCUCAAGCAUUUCCCAAAACUGUACUAGUCCAGAAAAUUUCAGAUAUCAUUGUGUUUCAAACGCCUUCAUGAAUGAAACUAUUGAAGUGUGUGCUCCUGGAUUAUUUCUUUUAGGAUUUUGUCCAGAAUAUAAUUUCCGUGGUGAACGAAUACAAGAUAACUACAAUGCUGAUUGUAAACAUUACGCACAGCCUUGUGCAAACAGAUACGAAUCUUGGAAGUCCUACAAAUUUCCAGAAUGUGUUGCUGUGAAAAACACAAAGCACAGAAGUAAAU
Saccostrea cuccullata (small rock oyster) is the source of this 539-nucleotide long non-coding RNA. RefSeq lists it as uncharacterized. NCBI's taxonomy places the organism in Eukaryota, Metazoa, Mollusca, Bivalvia, Ostreida, Ostreidae. The record is from RefSeq and is a predicted model, not a curated record. The transcript is spliced from 4 exons.